RNAcentral lists this ribosomal RNA (327 nucleotides) under uncultured eukaryote. RNAcentral's name for it is "partial 18S ribosomal RNA". It matches the Rfam family "Eukaryotic small subunit ribosomal RNA", at positions 1470 to 1796 of the family's 1831-position model. The record is from RNAcentral.
CCCUUAGAUGUUCUGGGCCGCACGCGCGCUACACUGACGAAUGCAACGAGCUUAUAACCUUGGCCGAAAGGUCUGGGUAAUCUCCAAAUUUCGUCGUGAUGGGGAUAGAUUAUUGCAAUUAUUAAUCUUCAACGAGGAAUGCCUAGUAAGCGCAAGUCAUCAGCUUGCGUUGAUUACGUCCCUGCCCUUUGUACACACCGCCCGUCGCUCCUACCGAUUGAAUGGUCCGGUGAAGCGCUCGGACCGCGGCCUCUUGACGGUUUUCCGUCGAUUGGCUGUGGGAAGUUCGUUAAACCUUAUCAUUUAGAGGAAGGAGANGUCGUNACA